GAUGAAGAACGUAGCGAAAUGCGAUAAGUAAUGUGAAUUGCAGAAUUCAGUGAAUCAUCGAAUCUUUGAACGCACAUUGCGCCCGCCAGUAUUCUGGCGGGCAUGCCUGUUCGAGCGUCAUUUCAACCAUCAAGCCCCCGGGCUUGUGUUGGGGACCUGCGGCUGCCGCAGGCCCUGAAAAGCAGUGGCGGGCUCGCUGUCACACCGAGCGUAGUAGCAUACAUCUCGCUCUGGGCGUGCUGCGGGUUCCGGCCGUUAAACCACCUUUUAACCCAAGGUUGACCUCGGAUCAGGUAGGAAGACCCGCUGAACUUAAGCAUAUCAAUAAGGGGAGGA
This 336-nucleotide unclassified non-coding RNA is filed under the name soil metagenome. Its description in RNAcentral is "partial contains 5.8S ribosomal RNA, internal transcribed spacer 2, and large subunit ribosomal RNA". The stretch from base 1 to 120 matches the Rfam family "5.8S ribosomal RNA", at positions 35 to 154 of the family's 154-position model. The record is from RNAcentral.